RNAcentral lists this long non-coding RNA (1024 nucleotides) under Nicotiana tabacum (common tobacco). RNAcentral's name for it is "long non-coding RNA (NTAB_LNC013693)". The record is from RNAcentral. Lineage: Eukaryota; Viridiplantae; Streptophyta; Magnoliopsida; Solanales; Solanaceae.
ACUCCUAAAGAUUCAGCACUGUUUCAUUAGAGCUGAUUCCCUUUUCCUUUGAUUUGAGUAAAACUUUUAAGAACUUCUUUGGGAUUUCUAUUUUCCACAAGUCGAGAAUGGUUUAAGUUUGAGGUUGUGUGUGGCUGGUUCUUGUUGUUUGUUGUCUACUGUUCUACUGUUGAAAAUCCAUCACUUUGCUGCUAAACUAGUUGCUUUACUUAGCAUUUGGAACAAUUCUUGAACAGCUAUGUACACAUCUCACCUAAUGUCUAAAUGUUUGCAAAUCUGAUACAACCUUCUGUUUGAUACUGUUUUGUUUGUAUAAUGAGGUUCAUUCCCAUAAAUGCAACAACAUUUAACUUUUCUUUGAUCAUGUGAUUCCCUGUUAUUUCAUUGUUCUUUUUAUGCUAUGAAAAACCUGUUUGUUUGUGAUGUUAAACAUAAUAUUUGUAUUUACUGGAUUUAUGAUAUGUAUGAUGUUGUGUCAUUCUGGUCUCCACCGUUAUAUUUUUGGCUGAGUUUGUGUGGUAAUAUUACUGCUAACAUAUGUGAAGCUAUGCUCUUGAUGGAUCUGAUCCUUGACAUGGUCAGAUCCAUGGGAUUUAAAGCUGAAAAAUGGAAUUCUGGGAUGUACAUGGAAGACCUGGCAACUUGCUGAAAGCUACUGCUAAAACUUCCCUUAUAGUCAUUAGAACAUUUGUUUUUGAUAGUUUAGUUUAGGUUUGUCUAUGGUUUCAUAGAUUGAGCUUCAUUUGGUUUAGCUAUAGCUUGAUAAUCAAUGGUUCAUUACUGCUAGGAGAUAAAAAAUUCUCAUAUAGAUUGAUUCUGUUGUAUGUUCAUGUAGGGACAAUUAGCACUGAAUGGUGUUAAUAGUUUAGCCUCCAUGUGUUGGAUUCAUUUGGAAGUCCAGAAUGAAUGUAUAGUGUCUUUGGUUCAUUUACUUUGAAGUGUUCAUUAAACGGUCUGUUGAUUAGCGUGUUUCCAUGAUGUAUUUUUCUUAAAACUUGGGGUUUAAGCCCAUACAAUUUCAAAG